Molecule: ribosomal RNA, 496 nt
Filed under: uncultured bacterium
Lineage: Bacteria
Description: bacterial SSU rRNA
Rfam family: Bacterial small subunit ribosomal RNA
Source: RNAcentral
AUGAACGCUGUCGGCGUGCCUAAUACAUGCAAGUCGAGCGAACAGACGAGGAGCUUGCUCCUCUGACGUUAGCGGUGGACGGGUGAGUAACACGUGGAUAACCUACCUAUAAGACUGGGAUAACUUCGGGAAACCGGAGCUAAUACCGGAUAACAUGUUGAACCGCAUGGUUCAACAGUGAAAGACGGUCUUGCUGUCACUUAUAGAUGGAUCCGCGCCGCAUUAGCUAGUUGGUAAGGUAACGGCUUACCAAGGCAACGAUGCGUAGCCGACCUGAGAGGGUGAUCGGCCACACUGGAACUGAGACACGGUCCAGACUCCUACGGGAGGCAGCAGUAGGGAAUCUUCCGCAAUGGGCGAAAGCCUGACGGAGCAACGCCGCGUGAGUGAAGAAGGUCUUCGGAUCGUAAAACUCUGUUAUUAGGGAAGAACAAAUGUGUAAGUAACUAUGCACGUCUUGACGGUACCUAAUCAGAAAGCCACGGCUAACUACGUG